This is a long non-coding RNA of Loxodonta africana (African savanna elephant), 7246 nucleotides long. RefSeq lists it as uncharacterized. Lineage: Eukaryota; Metazoa; Chordata; Mammalia; Proboscidea; Elephantidae. The transcript is spliced from 3 exons. The record is from RefSeq and is a predicted model, not a curated record.
CAGGGGGUGGGGAGGGGGGAGAGGAGGCUGGGAGGGGUUUCUUGGAGGAUUUGAACCUGACUUGUAUGAUUCCAAGGAGGGGUUAAGGAAGCAGCAAAUUCUCAUAAAAAGACCAGACUUAAUGGUCUGACUGAGACAAGAAGGACCCUGGUGGUCAUGGCCCCCAGACCUUCUGUUGGCCCAGCACAGGAACCAUUUCCGAAGCCAACUCUUCAGACAUGGAUUGGACUGGACGAUGGGUUGGAGAGGAAUGCUGGUGAGGCGUGAGCUUCUUGGAUCAGGUGGACACUUGAGACUAUGUUGGCAUCUCCUGCCCGGAGGGGAGAAGAGAGGGUGGAGGGGGUUAGAAGCUGGCAAAAUGGACAUGAAAAAAAAAGAGUGGAGGGAGAGAACGGGCUGUCUCAUUAGGGGCAGAGUAAUUGGGAGUGUGUAGCAAGGUGUAAAUGGGUUUUUGUGUGAGAGACUGACUUGAUUUAUAAGCUUUCACUUAAAGCACAAUAAAAAUUAUUAAAAAAAAAAACUUUAUGGAUCACAACAGAACAUUGUUCAAUAUAAUGCUGGAAGAUGAACCCUCUAGGUUGAAAGUCUCUCAAAACACUCAGUGGCUGCAACAACGGACUUGAGCAUGCCAACAAUCAUGAAGAUGGCUCAGGAUCAGGUGCCGUUUCAUUCUAUUGUACAUGGUGUUGCCAUGAGUCAGAGCUGCCUGAAUGGCAAUGAAGAACAAUAACACCAUCUACUGAGUUCUUAAAUUCACAUAUAUUAUCUCAUUAGAUCAUCAUAUCAACCCUGUCUUUUAUCGAGAGAGGGUGCACCUAAAGCUUGAAGAGCUGGAGAAGCCCAAACACUUUUGACUGCUUAGACCACCUAGGGUGCAAUAAUAAAAGUGUCCCCAGGGCUGUAGUAGGGUUAGAUUCAGUGACCACAGGCUCAAAUGAUCUUCUGCCUGCUCCAAUGCAUGUGGUUAGAAAAGUCUUCCAAGCCCUUUGCUGGGAGGCUCAGCAGAUCCAAGAUCCCCAGCGUGAGGGUGGGUAGUGUUUGGGCAGAUCUAGGGGGCAGUUCGCCAGUACAGGAAGCUGCUGGGCACUGGUCAUUCUGCCAAAGGACACAGCUCCUGGAGGCCUCUGGGCACCUGGUAAUGAUUAGUGCAGCUGCUAGGGCCCCAGCCUCAAGGGCAACAGGCCUCCUUGUGAAUUUGCAAGCUGAUCUUAUCUGCCAGCAGGUGGGUACCAGCCAUAUGAUGGAGCUCCCUCUGAGACACAUGCAAAAAUGCCUAAGAAGAAACUGCAUAUCUAGCUCCUCCUCGGCCUGACUUUAAUGAGCAAGUCCUUACCAUCUCCCAGUGGCUCUCCUCACCCCAAUGCCAGCUGCCAGCACCUCUGCUGUAGCCUGUCUGCUUGCCCAUCAGGGAUUUUACUAAAGCUCAAGGCAAAUUUGGUCUUUAAAAAAAAAAAAAGUUGCAAUUGAGUUGAUAUCAACUCAUGAGGACUGCAUGUAUGUCAAAGAACGGUGCUCCAUAGGGUUUUCAGUGGCUUAUUUUUUUGGAAAUAGAUCUCCAGGCCUUUCUUCUGAGGCACCUCUGGCACCUUUCUGGCACCUUUCUGUUAGCAGCCAAGCACAUUAAUCUUUGCACCACCCAGCAACUCCUGAAUCUGUUCUACCCUUUAUUAAAGCCACUUGGUGGUCUUUCAACGUUUCUCUAGAACCUUUUUCCAGGGCCUACCUCCUUUCUCUCUUUCCCAAACCUGGUAGGUGGGAACUUUCAGCAAGGGCGUGGACAAACCACUGAGUCAUUGCAGAUGUUUAAGCAGAGGCUGAGGGGGGCUCCCUUUGUGUCUUUGGGCCUGCAGUUCUAGGAUCCCCCUUAGUCUGACAUUGGUAAGCCCCACAGAAAGAAUAGCACGGACACUAGAGUCAGCCCACCUUUUCUUGGAAGCUGUGUGAUAGUGAGCAAGCUAUUCAUUUAUCUUCCUGAGCCAUUUUCUCAUCUAUACACUGAGGAAGAUGAAACCCACCUUGCAGGAUGAUUGCAAGGACAUAAUAACAGGAGUUUUGUAAAAUCCCUAGCACAGUGUUUGGCACUGCAGUUGUUGCUCUGCUAUGUGAGCCACAGAGAGAUCUGCCACCUUGUGCAGUAGCCGUGGCCAUAGGCAUGAACAGAAACAACUUGAGGAUGGGCAGGAAGCCCAUUGUCCCACUGGGAGGGCAACUCAUGAAACCCCUCCCAUUGCUCCAGUAUUUCCAUAGUCCUUAGGUUUGGAUUUGCUGUUCGCCAAAGAUUUUCAACCUUCUAGUAAACCAGUUGCCAUUGAGUUGAUUCCAACUCAUGGCAACCCCCUUGAAUGAUGCAAACAGUUAAUGUACUUGGCUGCUAACUGAAAGGCUGACAGUUCAAGUCCAGUCAGAGGUGCCUUGGAAGAAAGACUUGGCAAUCUACUUCCAAAAAAAUCAGCCAUUUAAUAUCUUAUGGAGCACAGUUCAUCUUUGACACACACAGGAUCACUAUGAGUCUGAAUUGACUUGAUGGCAACUUUUUUUUUUUUUUUUAAUUCCUGGGUAGUGCAAAUGGUUAAUGCACUUGGCUACUAACCAAAACACUGGCAGAGGUGUCUCAGAAGAUAGAUGGUGUCUCAGAAGAAAGGUCUGGUGAUCAACCACCAAAAUAUCACCCACUGAAAACCCUGUGGAAUACAGUUUCAAUCUCCUAGCUUUGCUUAUGUUGUUCCUGCCACCUAGCACAUACUUACUUCAGUAUUUACUCGCGUGGUUACUCAACAAUGACUGAUUGAUUUUUCUGAUCCUGAUAUUGUGUCAGGCACUGGGGAUAUGGCUGUUAACAAAACAGACCUGGUGUUCACUCCCCAUGAAGCUUGCAUUCAUUCUAGUUGGGUGAGUGCUAAAGAAAUUAAAACAAGAUAACUUUGAUAGUUUGAAAUGCUCUGAAGAACUGAAGGCAUGUGCUUGGAUAGAGUGACUGGUGGGUGGGGCAGGAGCUGCUUUGGGAAGGGAUUUAAGGAAUGGAUCCAAGCCCCAGAAGCCAGUCUGGCUAAUGAGCAUGGAACAGGAUCUGAAUGGAGAACACUGGGAAACUUGUUGAAUCUAUAGGAAUGGAAAACUAGACUUGGAAAAGGGGCGUGUUCCAGCUGAAACCACGGCCAAACCAGCCAUAGGACAGUCUGCCAGGAACCUGCCACAAGUGCACCUGUCUGGCACGCUCGUUGCCACCCUGUGGAUUCUUGGCUUAAUUCCUGUCACCACUGCAAAUAAUUUCUGACUACCCCAUAUGGGUCACAUACCUGCCCCAUAAUUCCCAGGGGGGAGGAGAAAGAAGAUAUCCGUCUUUCUUUGGCUUUUCUGAUAAGAAGGCUGGUCUGACCCUCAGUAGCCAAGAAAUGGGAAAUGUCUGAGAAGGUGACAUCUGAUUUGAGGUCUAAAUGGUGAGGAGACAGUCAUGUGAAAAUUCAGGAGGGGGGUGUUAUGGAUAGAAUUGUGUCCCCCCAAAAUAUGUAUUGUAAAUCCUAACCCCAUAACUGUGGUUAUAAUCCCAUUAGGGAAUGAGUUUUCUUUGUUAACAGUUUUAGUGUAGGGUGUGUCUUGAGUCAAUCUAUUUUGAGAUAUAAAGGGAGCAGAUUAAGUAAGACAGUGAAGAAGCAGAGAUGGGGCAAGAGUGAUGCCAAGCCACAUGAGGAUCGCCCAGGAGCAGAAGCUCAAAAGAGACAAGGACCUUACUCCAGAGCUGACUGUGGUGUAUUAAUUACUUUUGUGUGGUCUUUCCAGCCAUUGUCUUCUAACUCCCAGCUGGGUAAUUGGGUGGGACUAUGUGAUAAGUUGGCAGGAUUUGAAGGCAUUUUAUCUUCAGUGAAUCCCAAGAAAUUGAGGACCAGAGACCAAUGUCAGCAUGAGCCCUUCAACUCAUCCAUCUCCACAGACUCUCAAGGAUCCCUUGAGGAGCUGCUCCCAAAGAUUUACUUGAGCAUCAGAAAUCAACCCCAUAUGAAGAAAUAGAGAAAUGGAACAGAUCGAGUUUCUCCCAGCAUUCCACCUCUGGAAUAUGGAAGGUCCCAGCGAGAACAAAUCUUUACAAAUCCACAUGCUAGAAGCAUUGCAUGCAAACAUCCAUUUGGGAAAAGACAAAAUGACGGAAAUCUUAAAAACAUAUUGGUGGGGGCAUUUAUAUGAAGCUGUGGGUUGUGUGGUAUCCCAUUGCCCUAUUUGUGCCCAAUUUAUUCAGAUUUAUUGGAAAAGACACCAGUUAAAAAAUUCUCUCAAAUCUUGAUGUAAAGGACUUUACCUGGUCCUUCUCACUAAUCUUUGUGCUGGUAAAUUAGAGGAAGUGAAGUCUUGGGCUCAUCUCUCCCAGCUGAGGAAGGUUGUGGCUCCUGCCUGGAAAGUUUGAUCAACUGAGGGACUUAAGUAGAAAUUCAAAUACCCUGGUGGCGAGAGGCAGACAACUGUGCCCAAAGUGGGCAGCUUUCCCAAGAUCGUGGAACAAGACCUCCCACCUAUUCUGUCAAAUGCUAGCCCCUGAGACCGUUGGACUUUGUUUAAUCCUUAUUGCUUUUGAGGUUGCUUUGUGUUGCCAACUUGGGUUUAAUGACUAGUGAGAAUUUUUCAUAAAAAAACUAUAUAUUCUCUAUCUGUUUCAUAUUCAUUGCUAUAUUUAUGCUAGCUGCUACGUUAUACACUGUUGAUAUUAUCCCGUUUUCAUACUGUUCUUUUUUCAUGCAAAUAAGUGAAAUACUUAUUGUUAGUUUAAACUUUUAGUUGCUAUUUUGUUACUCACCCCAUUAUUUUACUAGGUUGUUAUUGGCCUUUGUUUUAAACACCACUGAUCUCCUAACCAUCAUCUCUUUCCUCAGUGUUAUUCUUUCGCUCAUCGAAUUUUGAGAUCUUUUUAUUGUUAAAUGGUAGUAGAUGAAAACCCUCGUCCUACCUAACUACCAUUUUUAUUACCUUUCCUUUAUUGUGUUAUUUUUGGUUUGUCUUUUUCCACUAUGAGGCUCUUAAGUAUUCUGUUAUUGUCUUGCACCACUCCACCAACACCUGACACAAAAAUGCCUUUUGAAGCUAGCUUAGUCAGUAGCUAGCGCCAGUAAUCUGGCUGGUGGAUUUGUCAUCAAAUUCUUAAAACUGGACAUGCUAACUCUGACCCGCUGGCCUUGCUAGUUCUUAAUUAUAGUUUUAUACCUAAUGCCCUGAUAAAUGCUAGUGCUAUUGCCAGAAAGGCUAUCUGUGUUAGGCUAUGGCAUCAAUCUAACUUCCCUAUUUAUUCCUUAAGUAUCCUGUUUUUUCCUUUCCUCUGUUUGGACAAAUCCUGAAGUUACUUAUACCAAUGGAUGUGCUAUUCCCUUUGUUGGCAACAGCCGAUAUUAUAUAGCCUUUGUAGAUUUUUGUAAUUAUGAGAAUCCAGAUGCCCCAAGUUGCUACCAUUUAAAGGAGAAAUCGGAGUUAGGGAAAUUGACCAUUUGUAGCAGCUCUCUUACUGAAAAAUGGCUUGAAGAAGCAAAUUGGGCUAUCCCUUUCCUUGAUAUUCAGACUGGAACAGGGACAAUUUGUGCACCCUGGGUAUGUAUUUUUAUGUAGAAGAUUCACUUAUUUAAAGGAAAAUGACCAUAUUUAACCUCAUACUUGGGCACUACCUUUCUUAGACAAAUGGAGCAUAUAUGGCCAAUGUACCUUAGGGACUCUUGGGGUCCCUCUAAACCUCCAUUCCUAUGAUGAAAGCACAUAUUGGACUAAUGAUUUGAAACUUCUUACCAGAAACAAAAGAGAAGCUAGUAACAACCCUGUAAUAGAUAAACCUAGAGACAGAUGUGCAUUCCUUCAAGGCCUUUUCCGCUUGUUGAUAUCCCUGAACUUUUUCAUCUAUUUACAAUUUUUACACUACAAUGUUGCAGAUAACUAAUGACCCUACUGAUAGCAUAGAAGCUCAACCAAACCCAUUGCCGUCAAUUUCAACUCAUAACGACCCUGUGGGACGGAGUACAGUCCUUAAAUACCAUUAUUAAAGUAGUAUUAGACAACAGAAAUUCCUUUGAUUUCCUUUUAGCCCAGCAAGAAGGUAUAUGUGCAGUUGUUAAUACCCCUGGUUGCACUUGGAUAAAUACUUCAGGAGAAGUGGAACAAGACCUUUAAGUAGGUAUAUCAAAAGACAACCUGGCUUCAGGUAUACCCUAUGUCUGAUUCACCCUUCUUUGCAUCUUUAGCUGGUUACCUAAAGGUGCUGGAUCAUGGAUUUGAUCCAUAUUAUUUACUAGCCUACUAAUACUUCUUGCUGUAAUAGUUGUUAUUCAGCUAAUCAAAUGUUGUAUGAAAUGUAUGACUAAAGUAUGGCUCACAACACUAAUUUAAUGCCUAUGAAAAGAAUAAUGUACAUUAAAAAUGUUCAUGUUCCAAAUGGAUUCUAGCCUACCCCCUGAAAUAGAGCCCCUAGAUGCCAGGUUAUUCCUCCAAUGUGCCCAAACCCCACAUGGACCCUAACAACUGGACCACAGGAAGCAAGAGGCUAAAAGUAUAGCAUGAUGAUGUUGGUUGGUGCCCGGCUACUUUUCACAUACAUAGUGUCUGAGGUCUUAACGGCUUAUUUACCAAGCAGCCAUCCAAAAUAACCACCAGAAGACCAUGCAGAAGAAAGCACUCUGUAUUAGUGGUCAAUGAAAUGAUCAACAAAUUUCUCUCAAAAUUCUUGAUUAGAAGGAGGGAAUAUGCAAGGGUUCCAAAACUGAGGUGCCUGGCAUGUGUAGGGUCGUUGGCUCAAGUAUAGGCCAGACUCCGUUUUGUGACUUCUGCUUCUGCAUUCCUGAGAAUGUAACUUUGUUGUCUUCAUAUGCAUAUGGCCCUGGACCUCUAGCUGCGUGGAACCAGCAGCCUGACUUCUUCCCAUUCAUAUGCGUAUGACCUUGGGUCUCUGGCUAGGCAGAAGAACUAGCACUCUGGCUCCCUAUCAAUCAUCUUGUGACCCCCUUGUGAGCACAUACUUUAACAAUUAUGUGAGUGUACUCAAUCCCCUUAAUCCACAUAUAGUCUGUCAACCAAUCCCAAUCAAAGCCCUGCUUCAAGAUAUCCUGCCUUCCACUUUACUGAUUGCUUGCCUACCAAUCAGAAUAUUGUAAGCUAAGUUUCUGAUUUAUCCCUAUAACUCUGACCAUGUGACCGCAGGUUUUCAGAGUGCUGUUUUUCAUGUUGCGAGAUCCAAAAUGUCCCCAGUUUGAGCUGCCUUUGCUCUCAAUAAAUCUCUUUACUUUCA